UUGCGCAUAAACCCUCCUUGGUUCACGCACACCGUACAUUCAUUUGGAACUGCGAGUCCAAGAACAUGAUUGCCCCCACAGUCAUCGUCGUCAUUCUUACAUAUUCGCAGCUAUGGGAUCCGGUGGAAUGCGGAUGCAGCUAUUCUGCAUGUGGAGCGGGUGUGACUGUCAACCUGAAAGAGCGAAUAAAGUACAACGAUCGUUUCCUCGACUGCUCCUACUAUCCCGAUCCUGAGGCCAGUUGUCCGUGCCGAGGUGCAGAGGAAGACGGGGCAAA
Ornithodoros turicata is the source of this 277-nucleotide long non-coding RNA. RefSeq lists it as uncharacterized. The transcript is spliced from 3 exons. The record is from RefSeq and is a predicted model, not a curated record. NCBI's taxonomy places the organism in Eukaryota, Metazoa, Arthropoda, Arachnida, Ixodida, Argasidae.